AUUGAACGCUAGCGGGAUGCUUUACACAUGCACGUCGAACGAGUGGAGGCGGGGUGGGUAAUAUAUCGGAACGUGCCCAGGAGCGGGGGAUGCAUACUCCAAAGAGUGGCUAAUAACGCAUUCUAUUGGCGCGGCCGAUACCGGAUUAGCUAGGUGGUGGGGUAAAGGCCCACAAAGGCAACGAUCCGUAGGUGGUUUGAGAGGACGACCGGCCACACUGGGACUUAGACACGGCCCAGACUCCUACGGGAGGCAGCAGUGGGGAAUUUUGGACAAUGGGGGAAACCCUGAUCCAGCCAUCCCGCGUGUAUGAGAAGGCCUUCGGGUUGUAAAGUACUUUUGGCAGAGAAGCGGUAUCUGCAGAAUAAGCACCGGCUAACUACGUGCCAGCAGCCGCGGUAAUAC
Molecule: ribosomal RNA, 405 nt
Filed under: uncultured bacterium
Lineage: Bacteria
Description: partial 16S ribosomal RNA
Rfam family: Bacterial small subunit ribosomal RNA
Source: RNAcentral